RNAcentral lists this long non-coding RNA (809 nucleotides) under Medicago truncatula (barrel medic). RNAcentral's name for it is "lncRNA gene38764". Lineage: Eukaryota; Viridiplantae; Streptophyta; Magnoliopsida; Fabales; Fabaceae. The record is from RNAcentral.
CGGCGACACCGCCACUGCGGCAUUGUCGUCGCGAACGACAAUAUCGUCGGCGCCAAUGAGAUUCUCGUUUAAUGAUACAGUCCUUGCCGUUCCGUCCACUGCGUCUACCUUGAAAACUUUACCGGUGCUCGAUUGUACUACGAGAAGGUAACCUUUUGAAACGUAGGUGAUUCCGUUUAGACCUAGGAGAUUGUUAUCGUUCGCCGGAGAGGUGAACAGUGGAGAUUUUGAGAAGAUUGAUGCUGUUCCGUCGGUGGUGACUUUCCAGAUGAAGUUUUCGGCGGAGUUUGUUACGUAUGCGUUGCCGGUGUGAUCGACGGCGACGUCGUUGGCGGCGGAGGGCGUGGAUUCAUCGUCGGAGUCAGUGAGGAGAGAGAUAAAGAUGCGGCGGCGGGAGCGGAGGUCGUAGGCGGCGAGGGCGUUGAACGGAGGGAGGGGAGGAGGGGAGUGGACAACGGUGAGGAGACGGUUACGGCGGGAAUCGACGGCGAUUCCGAGGAUGGAGGAGUUGGAGGGGAGGGUGAUGUCGGAUAUGAAAGUUUCGACUACACCGGCGUCGGAGACGGCGGUGAUGAUGCGGCGGCGGAGGGAUCCGAUGAGGAAAUGUUGAGCGCGUGGGUCCCACGCGAGGGAUUCAGGGUAGAGGUUAGGGGAACGGAAGUUGAUGACGUGUGCAUCUCGACAGAGAAUUGGGCUUGGGCCCAGGCCCAAUAAGAAGAAGAUUAAGGUGAUUAAGGUGAUGGAUUUGUGUGAUGAUGAGAAUAAGAUUAACAUGGUGAUUGAUGAUUAGAGAAUGUUAAAUGUGAUUA